UACGAAGGGGGCUAGCGUUGCUCGGAAUUACUGGGCGUAAAGGGCGCGUAGGCGGCCAAUCAAGUCAGAUGUGAAAGUCCUGGGCUUAACCUGGGGACUGCAUUUGAUACUGAUUGGCUUGAAUGCAGGAGAGGAUAGCAGAAUUCCCAGUGUAGAGGUGAAAUUCGUAGAUAUUGGGAAGAACACCGGUGGCGAAGGCGGCUAUCUGGACUGUGAUUGACGCUGGAGGCGCGAAAGCCGUGGGGAGCGAACAGG
This 255-nucleotide ribosomal RNA is filed under the name uncultured bacterium. Its description in RNAcentral is "partial 16S ribosomal RNA". It matches the Rfam family "Bacterial small subunit ribosomal RNA", at positions 524 to 776 of the family's 1533-position model. The record is from RNAcentral.